UUAAAUUGAAGAGUUUGAUCAUGGCUCAGAUUGAACGCUGGCGGCAGGCCUAACACAUGCAAGUCGAACGGUAACAGGAAGAAGCUUGCUUCUUUGCUGACGAGUGGCGG
RNAcentral lists this ribosomal RNA (110 nucleotides) under Escherichia coli. RNAcentral describes it as "partial 16S ribosomal RNA". It matches the Rfam family "Bacterial small subunit ribosomal RNA", at positions 1 to 101 of the family's 1533-position model. The record is from RNAcentral. Lineage: Bacteria; Pseudomonadati; Pseudomonadota; Gammaproteobacteria; Enterobacterales; Enterobacteriaceae. RNAcentral also lists the same sequence under 1 other name.